This 76-nucleotide transfer RNA is filed under the name Deltaproteobacteria bacterium. Its description in RNAcentral is "tRNA-Asn". It matches the Rfam family "tRNA". Rfam says of the family: Transfer RNA (tRNA) molecules are approximately 80 nucleotides in length. Their secondary structure includes four short double-helical elements and three loops (D, anti-codon, and T loops). Further hydrogen bonds mediate the characteristic L-shaped molecular structure. tRNAs have two regions of fundamental functional importance: the anti-codon, which is responsible for specific mRNA codon recognition, and the 3' end, to which the tRNAs corresponding amino acid is attached (by aminoacyl-tRNA synthetases). tRNAs cope with the degeneracy of the genetic code in two manners: having more than one tRNA (with a specific anti-codon) for a particular amino acid; and 'wobble' base-pairing, i.e. permitting non-standard base-pairing at the 3rd anti-codon position. The record is from RNAcentral. RNAcentral also lists the same sequence under 4 other names. Lineage: Bacteria; Pseudomonadati; Myxococcota; Myxococcia.
UCCCCGGUAGCUCAGCCGGUAGAGCAGGUGGCUGUUAACCACUUGGUCGGGGGUUCGAGUCCCUCCCGGGGAGCCA